AUUGAACGCUGGCGGCAGGCCUAACACAUGCAAGUCGAACGAGUGGCGGACGGGUGAGUUAUGUCUGGGAAACUGCCUGAUGGAGGGGGAUAACUACUGGAAAAGGUAGCUAAUACCGCAUAACAUAGGAUGUGCCCAGCUGGGAUUAGCUAGUAGGUGGGGUAAUGGAUCAGCUAGGCGACGAUCCCUAGCUGGUCUGAGAGGAUGACCAGCCACACUGGAACGGAGACACGGUCCAGACUCCUACGGGAGGCAGCAGUGGGGAAUAUGGCACAAUGGGCGCAAGCCUGAUGCAGCCAUGCCGCGUGUGUGAAGAAGGCCGUCGGGUUGUAAAGCACUUUCAGCGGGGAGGCGUUACCCGCAGAAGAAGCACCGGCUAACUCCGUGCCAGCAGCCGCGGUAAUUC
RNAcentral lists this ribosomal RNA (406 nucleotides) under uncultured bacterium. RNAcentral's name for it is "partial 16S ribosomal RNA". It matches the Rfam family "Bacterial small subunit ribosomal RNA", at positions 30 to 526 of the family's 1533-position model. The record is from RNAcentral.